CAUUAACUGAAUCCAUAGGUUAAUGAGGCGAACCGGGGGAACUGAAACAUCUAAGUACCCCGAGGAAAAGAAAUCAACCGAGAUUCCCCCAGUAGCGGCGAGCGAACGGGGAGGAGCCCAGAGCCUGAAUCAGCAUGUGUGUUAGUGGAAGCGUCUGGAAAGGCGCGCGAUACAGGGUGACAGCCCCGUACACAAAAGCGCAUGUGCUGUGAGCUCGAUGAGUAGGGCGGGACACGUGGUAUCCUGUCUGAAUAUGGGGGGACCAUCCUCCAAGGCUAAAUACUCCUGACUGACCGAUAGUGAACCAGUACCGUGAGGGAAAGGCGAAAAGAACCCCGGCGAGGGGAGUGAAAAAGAACCUGAAACCGU
RNAcentral lists this ribosomal RNA (369 nucleotides) under Salmonella enterica. Its description in RNAcentral is "partial 23S ribosomal RNA". It matches the Rfam family "Bacterial large subunit ribosomal RNA", at positions 152 to 559 of the family's 2925-position model. RNAcentral also lists the same sequence under 3 other names. The record is from RNAcentral. Lineage: Bacteria; Pseudomonadati; Pseudomonadota; Gammaproteobacteria; Enterobacterales; Enterobacteriaceae.